Molecule: long non-coding RNA, 1189 nt
Filed under: Oryctolagus cuniculus (rabbit)
Lineage: Eukaryota; Metazoa; Chordata; Mammalia; Lagomorpha; Leporidae
Description: lncRNA (ENSOCUG00000034550.1)
Source: RNAcentral
AUGGGUAUAGCUCUUUCUCUUUCACCUCACUUCUGCUCUAUUUUAAAGAGGCCUGUGUCUUCAGUCUUUUUCAGGGGCCCUAUCGGAGACGUUGCCAUGGUUAAUGGUGUGUGCUGCUUCCUCUCUGAAAGGCAUUUCCAUUUAAGUCUAGCAGAUGAGAAGAAUCUGGGAUGUCUUUCAAGUCUAUGGGGUGGAUUAAGGUGGUUCACGCCAACGAAAUUCAACACUGGGAGACUGUCUGCCAGGAGAGGCGGCAGAGCUGCGGAGACUUUAUGCGGAGACUUUAUGCGAUCAGGACCUACCUGCCUCAGCAUCUGGAGGAGGGAGUUGGGGCCACAUGGGAAGCAGCAAGGUGAGAUUUAAAACAACCAGGCUAGGUCAGUGCAGCUGGUCCAGAGGUCCCUGCUGGCUUCCAAGCUUCCUGCCCCUCCUGUCCCCAGGAGGUGAUGUGACAAGAGUGUUAACUGGACAGAAUGCAGGAAAAGAAACUGCCUCAGAUCUUUGCUCCAGGCUUCACAGGGCUCCAGGAGGCGCUGAGGGAGUUUCAUUUGUAUAUUGUCUCAUAGACACAGAACUCGUUUUUAUUCCUUUGGUAUGACAAUUCAUUGCUUUGUACUCAUUUUUCCAACCUUUUCUGUGCUCUAGCCCAGAUGCCUUGGUUUGGAGAACUCAGUAGACAAAGUCAUAUUUCUCCCACCAUCCACACCAUAUAUUUGGGCCCUGAUUAAUUAAGUACUCAACUCCAUCUGUGCACCUUCCCGUAGUGUUCUCCAGAGACAGGGAAGUGUAAGUCUUGUGCCCUGCACAUAAUCAGCCAACUCCUUGGAGAGGGAAGCAUGUCUACACAUUCCGCAGCCAGCCCAGGGCACAGGAACAGCUAUUUCAUUGUUCUAGAGUCACCUCGUAGUGGUCUGUUCCCCAGCUUCUAUGUGCGUGUGCGUGUGUGUAUUUCUCAGCUGCGGACACUUUCGAGAGUGAAAGUGUGUUGGGUUUAGUAACACUGUGGGGCAUCAGGCAUACACAGGGACUGUCCCAAGACAACACGGGCCAUCAGGUCAGCCCAUCUCUCACAUGUGCUGUGCCUAGGGACAGAGUACAAAAGGAGGCCCAUCUAUGAUGUCUAAGCUUUCCUCACUUGUUAUGCAUAGAGUUAGGAAAGUAUUAAAUAAAUAUGCACCAUCCCCUGCCA